RNAcentral lists this ribosomal RNA (468 nucleotides) under uncultured bacterium. Its description in RNAcentral is "partial 16S ribosomal RNA". It matches the Rfam family "Bacterial small subunit ribosomal RNA", at positions 28 to 507 of the family's 1533-position model. The record is from RNAcentral.
GACGAACGCUGGCGGCGUGCUUAACACAUGCAAGUCGAACGGAAAGGCCCUGCUUUUGUGGGGUGCUCGAGUGGCGAACGGGUGAGUAACACGUGAGUAACCUGCCCUUGACUUUGGGAUAACUUCAGGAAACUGGGGCUAAUACCGGAUAGGAGCUCCUGCUGCACGGUGGGGGUUGGAAAGUUUCGGCGGUUGGGGAUGGACUCGCGGCUUAUCCGCUUGUUGGUGGGGUAGUGACUUACCAAGGCUUUGACGGGUAGCCGGCCUUAGGGGGUGACCGGCCACAUUGGUACUGAGAUACGGCCCAGACGCCUAUGGGCGGCAGCGGUGGAGAGUCUUGCAGAAUGGGCGGAAGCCUGAUGUAGCAACGCCCCGUUCGGGAUGACGGCCUUCUGGUUGUAAACCGCUUUCGCCUUUGCCGAAGCGAGAGUGACGGUAAUUGGUAAAGAAGCACCGGCUAACUACGUG